Molecule: ribosomal RNA, 520 nt
Filed under: uncultured bacterium
Lineage: Bacteria
Description: bacterial SSU rRNA
Rfam family: Bacterial small subunit ribosomal RNA
Source: RNAcentral
GGGAACGUACCCUUUGGUUCGGAAUAACGCUGGGAAACUAGCGCUAAUACCGGAUACGCCCUUUUGGGGAAAGGCUUGCUGCCGAAGGAUCGGCCCGCGUCUGAUUAGCUAGUUGGUGGGGUAAUGGCCUACCAAGGCGACGAUCAGUAGCUGGUCUGAGAGGAUGAUCAGCCACACUGGGACUGAGACACGGCCCAGACUCCUACGGGAGGCAGCAGUGGGGAAUAUUGGACGAUGGGCGCAAGCCUGAUCCAGCCAUGCCGCGUGAGUGAUGAAGGCCUUAGGGUUGUAAAGCUCUUUUGUCCGGGACGAUAAUGACGGUACCGGAAGAAUAAGCCCCGGCUAACUUCGUGCCAGCAGCCGCGGUAAUACGAAGGGGGCUAGCGUUGCUCGGAAUCACUGGGCGUAAAGGGCGCGUAGGCGGCCAUUCAAGUCGGGGGUGAAAGCCUGUGGCUCAACCACAGAAUUGCCUUCGAUACUGUUUGGCUUGAGUUUGGUAGAGGUUGGUGGAACUGCGAGU